RNAcentral lists this long non-coding RNA (205 nucleotides) under Elaeis guineensis (African oil palm). Its description in RNAcentral is "long non-coding RNA (EGUI_LNC082132)". The record is from RNAcentral. Lineage: Eukaryota; Viridiplantae; Streptophyta; Magnoliopsida; Arecales; Arecaceae.
UGUCCAGUUGAUGGGCUGGAUGCCCGCGACAACCUCACUGAAGAGAGGGGUGGCCCAAUUGAAGAUCUGGUACCGAUCCCUUUGAACGACGGGAAUGCGGAGCAUGUGGCGAUGAUCGGCUCCAACCUGGGGGAAGAGGUGCGGAUGCAUCUCAUUGAUUUUUUAUGAAAGAAUGAGAACAUUUUCACUUGGGUUCCAGUGGACA